This 460-nucleotide ribosomal RNA is filed under the name Methylomirabilis oxygeniifera (SeqCode). RNAcentral's name for it is "bacterial SSU rRNA". It matches the Rfam family "Bacterial small subunit ribosomal RNA", at positions 977 to 1434 of the family's 1533-position model. The record is from RNAcentral. Lineage: Bacteria; Methylomirabilota (SeqCode); Methylomirabilia (SeqCode); Methylomirabilales (SeqCode); Methylomirabilaceae (SeqCode).
GGGCUUGACAUCCCACGAAUCCCUUCGAAAGAAGGGAGUGCCCGCAAGGGAGCGCGGAGACAGGUGGUGCAUGGCUGUCGUCAGCUCGUGUCGUGAGAUGUUGGGUUAAGUCCCGCAACGAGCGCAACCCUCACCUCUUGUUGCCAACAGGUCAUGCUGGGCACUCUAGAGGAACUGCCCCGGUCAACGGGGAGGAAGGUGGGGAUGACGUCAAGUCAUCAUGCCCCUUACGUCCUGGGCUACACACGUGCUACAAUGGCCGGUACAAAGGGACGCAAGACCGCGAGGUGGAGCUAACCCCAAAAAGCCGGUCUAAGUUCAGAUUGGAGUCUGCAACUCGACUCCAUGAAGGAGGAAUCGCUAGUAAUCGCGCAUCAGCACGGCGCGGUGAAUACGUUCCCGGGCCUUGUACACACCGCCCGUCACACCACGAAAGCCAGCUGUACUCGAAGUCGCUGAG